This 249-nucleotide long non-coding RNA is filed under the name Homo sapiens (human). RNAcentral describes it as "PREDICTED lncRNA (TCONS_00124774)". The record is from RNAcentral. Lineage: Eukaryota; Metazoa; Chordata; Mammalia; Primates; Hominidae.
CGAGAGUCCUGAUGACUUCCCAGAGGAGAGCCACCUCCUAGCAGAUCCUUGAUCUAAGAGUUGUUCAUAUCAAAUCUGCCCUGAGGGUUUGUCUGCGGAAUGUCUGCUAAAUGAGUCACCAGCUCCUUAUUCACAUUCGGACUAGAAAGCAACUGUGGAAGUCAAGGCCAGAAAUCACUCACUAUAUCAUCUGAUAUUCCUCUGAUCGUUAUACCUAUUCUCAGUGUUAAGGAAAUGAGACCAGUUGAA